AUGGCGUCAGAGGGCGGCGGGCCUGCGGCCACGGCUGCAUGCACAGCACAGCACCGGCUGGCCCAGGCUCGCUACCUCUGCUCUACUGCUGCACGGCCGCUGCUCACCCGGCCGGCCGCGGCAGGGGAGAAGAGCAAGGAGCAGUGCACCUUUUUCCUUUUCCUUUUUCCUCUUCUUCUUCCUCGGCCCUCGAGCUUCGCUGUGCGCUCCGGUCGCCGUGUGGUUGCAUCCAUCCAUUCUCUAUCGUACUGCCACGAAUCUGAUAUCGCUGUUCGAUUCCGUGCGGCGCAUGCAUGCGCCUCUCUGCCAUGGCCUGCCCGCGCGCGCGUCCUGUGCUGUCGCUGCAGCCGGGCUCUGCCUCUUGCCUCUGCCCCUCUUGGGGAGGAGGGGCAGGCUUUGCCUCAUCGGGCGCUGUUGCCGUGUACUCUAGCGCUGGACUUUGCCUCUGGGAGGGGGCUAUCGGCAUCAGGGCUAGCUGUGCCUGUGCCUAGCAGGUCGAGUCAAGGAGAGGACGGCCGCGCCGCGCGCCUCCGUUUAUCAUUAUCGGCGUGCGCUGUGCCGUGCCGUGCCGUGUCGUCCCUUGAUCAAGUUCACCAAACCCAAUGCCCUUCUCUCGUGUGCGCCCUCCAUUUCUCACGUUCUAGUCGUCGCCGUCAUCCACCCUUGCUCCCCCAUCAGCACCGUCACCUCCACUCGCCGCCCGAUGUCAUCGCCGGGUACCCCGCCCCCACCGCCACCACACAUGUUACCUUGGCGUCAUUUAUGGGGCUCUCGCCCAUGGCAAUGAGCCGGCCAAGGAUGUUGUGGACCUCGACGACGAUAUGUCCCCUCCGAUGCGCUGGUCACCCCUCAACCGUCCAUCCUAUCGUCGGCAGUGAAUUACAUACGGAUUUAUGGAAAAGCAAGCGCUGGACGACGAGGUGUGCGACUCGCAGCAACUCCAACGGGCACAGAGAAGCACAUGCAGCGUCGGCGUCUGGUCUCCCAGCUCCCACUCAACGGAAUAUGGUGUUGGCCGUCGCUUUGUUUCAACAAAUCAAGAGGAAGCAAUUAGGUUUUAGCCAUUGCUGGAUCAAAUUGAAUGGUCAGCCAAAGUGGAAUCAAUUUGUAGAAGACCUCGAGAAAGGCAAUAAAAGUUUGAAGACAAAUGAUGGCUAUAGCUCCCACCAAUACAUUGGAGUGGAUGCCAAAGAGGAAGAAGUUGUAGGGGAGAAUGGAAGAGCCACCGUGCCAAAGAAUAACCGACAAGUGAUGGGAAAAAAGUGGGAGAAGGGAGGGCCGGCCGUGACACAACGGCGACAAAAUUGUCCACCACAUGGAUGUGCAUUCUUUUCACAAUGGAGAAAAAGAAAGAGGAGAGGUACAAGUUCAUGUUGGAUGCAAAAAAAAGGAUGGGUUCGGACCGAGAGAGGCUUGAGAAGGGUCAGGCUUGUGGAUCAACAGAGCUUGAGAAGGAGAGGUUGCAACUCGCUCAAGACACGGAGGAUUCAAGGAUUUUGUUGGCGGGCGCGAGACUCUUGGAUGAGCAAGCAAGGAAGUGGCCCGAGGGGGAAGAGGAAUGAGAUCAACCAGCGUAAGGAGUACGUUGUGCCAGAGCGUCGAUGGCAGCCGCGACAGAGCAAGCAACAUGGAUGGCAACCAGCAAGUGAUUCAUCACGUUGGCCGGACAUGGCCCAGACUUGA
Molecule: ribosomal RNA, 1683 nt
Filed under: Triticum aestivum (bread wheat)
Lineage: Eukaryota; Viridiplantae; Streptophyta; Magnoliopsida; Poales; Poaceae
Description: partial small subunit ribosomal RNA
Source: RNAcentral